Parasteatoda tepidariorum (common house spider) is the source of this 292-nucleotide non-coding RNA. The record is from RefSeq and is a predicted model, not a curated record. NCBI's taxonomy places the organism in Eukaryota, Metazoa, Arthropoda, Arachnida, Araneae, Theridiidae.
AACUGUUUUUCAGAUGGGUCACAGCUCCUGCGGUUGUUAAUGCGUUCUAUACGAGGUCGAAAAAUUUUAUAACGUUCCCUGCUGGGAUACUACAGCCUCCUCUGUAUCAUCAAAAUUAUAUUAGAUCUUUGAACUAUGGAGGCAUUGGAGUCGUAAUUGGGCACGAAAUCACACACGGCUUCGACGAUAAAGGUCGUCAGUUUGAUCAUUUUGGUAAUUUGAAACAGUGGUGGAAUGCAGAAGCACUACAAAAAUUUCAGUCAAAGGCCGACUGUAUGAUUAAUCAAUAUGG